RNAcentral lists this unclassified non-coding RNA (404 nucleotides) under soil metagenome. RNAcentral's name for it is "partial contains 5.8S ribosomal RNA, internal transcribed spacer 2, and large subunit ribosomal RNA". The stretch from base 1 to 121 matches the Rfam family "5.8S ribosomal RNA", at positions 35 to 154 of the family's 154-position model. The record is from RNAcentral.
GAUGAAGAACGUAGCGAAAUGCGAUAAGUAAUGUGAAUUGCAGAAUUCAGUGAAUCAUCGAAUCUUUGAACGCACCUUGCGCCCUUUGGCUAUUCCGAAGGGCAUGCCUGUUUGAGUAUCAUGAACACCUCAACUCUCAUGGUUUGCCAUGAUGAGCUUGGACUUUGGGGGUCUUGCCGGCCUAUGGGUCGGCUCCUCUCAAAUUAAUCAGCUUGCCAGUGUUUGGUGGCAUCACAGGUGUGAUAACUAUCUACGCUUGUGGUUUUCCAUCAGGUAAUCUUCAGUGAUGGAGGUUCGCUGGGGCUCAUAAAUGUCUCUCCUCAGUGAGGACAGCUUUUUUGAACGUUUGAUCUCAAAUCAGGUAGGACUACCCGCUGAACUUAAGCAUAUCAAUAAGCGGAGGA